ACGAACGCUGGCGGCGCGCCUAACACAUGCAAGUCGAACGAGCGAGAGAGAGCUUGCUUUCUCGAGCGAGUGGCGAACGGGUGAGUAACGCGUGAGGAACCUGCCUCAAAGAGGGGGACAACAGUUGGAAACGACUGCUAAUACCGCAUAAGCCCACGGCUCGGCAUCGAGCAGGGGGAAAAGGAGCAAUCCGCUUUGAGAUGGCCUCGCGUCCGAUUAGCUAGUUGGUGGGGUAACGGCCCACCAAGGCGACGAUCGGUAGCCGGACUGAGAGGUUGAACGGCCACAUUGGGACUGAGACACGGCCCAGACUCCUACGGGAGGCAGCAGUGGGGAAUAUUGCACAAUGGGGGAAACCCUGAUGCAGCGACGCCGCGUGGAGGAAGAAGGUCUUCGGAUUGUAAACUCCUGUUGUUGGGGAAGAUAAUGACGGUACCUAACAAGGAAGUGACGGCUAACUACGU
RNAcentral lists this ribosomal RNA (464 nucleotides) under uncultured bacterium. Its description in RNAcentral is "partial 16S ribosomal RNA". It matches the Rfam family "Bacterial small subunit ribosomal RNA", at positions 29 to 506 of the family's 1533-position model. The record is from RNAcentral.